Non-coding RNA from Paramuricea clavata, 204 nucleotides. NCBI's taxonomy places the organism in Eukaryota, Metazoa, Cnidaria, Anthozoa, Malacalcyonacea, Plexauridae. The record is from the annotation of a GenBank genome assembly.
AGCCGGGUAUUUAGUAAACUGCCGGCUAUAUAGUGACUAUAGUUAAAUAUAAAAACUUUUGUCACCGAGCUUGCCGUUAUAGUAUAUGGUAUAGGCACUGUGUGCGAAAAGUGAAACGCAGUCUGGGUCGGGUUGUGUUUUCUUUGACUAAUCUUUUUUUUCUUAGUCACUAUAUAGCCGGCAGUUUACUAAAUAGCUGGCUCU